UGCUCUCUGGCUCCGCUCCACAACUCUUUAUUGGUACAUUUUCCACCAGCACCUGAUGGUGAUGCUCCAGUUUGGUUGAAUCCCCACCUCAGGAGGUGACCGAGCUCAGUGCCCAGUGACAGGAAAACACAGUGAUCACAGCAACGAGGAUGGAGGCGAUGAACCCCCCGAGGAUACCCAAGAGCACGGGGCCCACCCAGCCCAGAAGGCUGCGGGUGUAGGGAGGGGGCGGCCGCCUCUCGAAGCGCAGAUCCCCCAUAUCCCCCGCACCCCUCCUGCUCCGUGCCAUGCCAUGCUGCUCGCCCUGCAGCAGCAGUGAGGAGAAAAUAAAACAAAACAACCCAACG
This 347-nucleotide long non-coding RNA is filed under the name Gallus gallus (chicken). RNAcentral describes it as "long non-coding RNA NONGGAT009465". Lineage: Eukaryota; Metazoa; Chordata; Aves; Galliformes; Phasianidae. The record is from RNAcentral.